CCUCGCUACAUAUUCGUCGCCAGACCCACUGGCUCCAGGUCAUCUACAAGUCUAUGCUAGUAUUGAUGACAUCACCCUGAAGAAGGCACAGUGAUGCUGAAACGUUGGCAGCCUGGGAAAGAACUGAAAAAACUCACUAAAGAGUCAAGACAGAGACACCAGAAAGACCCAAGAAGACUUGGACGCAGCAUCAGAGGACAGAGAGGGAUGUUCAGAACUCACUCAGUCUGGUUAGAAGAGAAUGACUCCUCAACCCAAGAGGCCCUGGAGCAGCUGUGAUCAGGUUAGAAGAGAAUGACUCCUCAACCCAAGAGGCCCUGGAGCAGCUGUGAUCAGGUUAGAAGAGAAUGACUCCUCAACCCAAGAGGCCCUGGAGCAGCUGUGAGAGAGCAGCAGUGUGGAAGCAUUUGGGG
RNAcentral lists this long non-coding RNA (413 nucleotides) under Salmo salar (Atlantic salmon). RNAcentral describes it as "lncRNA (ENSSSAG00000112002.1)". The record is from RNAcentral. Lineage: Eukaryota; Metazoa; Chordata; Actinopteri; Salmoniformes; Salmonidae.